UAGAGAAUAGUGUAAUGGUAACACCUCAUUUUCCAAAGAUGAUAAUAAAGGUUCGAUUCCUUUUUCUCUUG
RNAcentral lists this transfer RNA (71 nucleotides) under Amoeboaphelidium protococcarum. Its description in RNAcentral is "tRNA-Trp". It matches the Rfam family "tRNA". From Rfam's summary of the family: Transfer RNA (tRNA) molecules are approximately 80 nucleotides in length. Their secondary structure includes four short double-helical elements and three loops (D, anti-codon, and T loops). The record is from RNAcentral. Lineage: Eukaryota; Fungi; Aphelidiomycota; Aphelidea.